RNAcentral lists this ribosomal RNA (429 nucleotides) under Verrucomicrobiota bacterium. RNAcentral describes it as "Verrucomicrobia bacterium partial 16S ribosomal RNA". It matches the Rfam family "Bacterial small subunit ribosomal RNA", at positions 355 to 776 of the family's 1533-position model. The record is from RNAcentral. Lineage: Bacteria; Pseudomonadati; Verrucomicrobiota.
UAGGGAAUCUUCCGCAAUGGACGAAAGUCUGACGGAGCAACGCCGCGUGAGUGAAGAAGGAUUUCGGUUCGUAAAACUCUGUUGUUAGGGAAGAAAAAAUGUAUAGUAACUAUAUACAAAAGAGACGGUACCUAACCAGAAAGCCACGGCUAACUACGUGACAGCAGCCGCGGUAAUACGUAGGUCGCAAGCGUUGUCCGGAAUUAUUGGGCGUAAAGCGCGCGCAGGUGGUUUAGAAAGUCUGAUGUGCAAGCCCACGGCUCAACCGUGCAGGGUCAUUUGAAACUAAUAAACUUGAGUGCAGGAGAGAAAAGUGGAAUUCCUCGUGUAGCGGUGAAAUGCGUAGAGAUUAGGAGGAACACCGGUGGCGAAAGCGGCUUUUUGGCAUGCAACUGACACUGAGGCGCGAAAGCGUGGGGAGCAAACAGG